UUAAGUUCAGCGGGUAGUCCUACCUGAUUUGAGGUCAGAUUUCAAAGUCGAGCUUUGUUGACCGCCGCCCCACGGGCAGGUCUAGGGAGGACUCGGCAGUGGUGAACGUCUCGGGAGAGCGAGGAUGGUACAACGCCCAGUCGAGUUCGACCCACAGGUCCAACCGAAGCAUUUGAGGGGAGCCGCCUAGCGGCAGCAUG
Molecule: unclassified non-coding RNA, 200 nt
Filed under: Trechispora sp.
Lineage: Eukaryota; Fungi; Basidiomycota; Agaricomycetes; Trechisporales; Hydnodontaceae
Description: partial internal transcribed spacer 2
Source: RNAcentral